Molecule: non-coding RNA, 280 nt
Organism: Chelonoidis abingdonii (Abingdon island giant tortoise)
Lineage: Eukaryota; Metazoa; Chordata; Testudines; Testudinidae
Source: RefSeq, a predicted model, not a curated record
UACAAAUUUCGACAGGUUUCCAUGCCCCUUUUAGGACUUAUGUCCCACCUUCCCACCUCCUGUUUCCAUUGGCGUGAAAGUGUGGCGCCAUCGGCCAUUUUGAAAAAAUGUGUGUGUGUAUGUGUUUGACUAGGGGAAGUGUAUUAAAUAUCAGGGUGGGUUAAGAGAAAAGCUAAAUAAUAUUGAAAACUAGGUUUAUAAAGGGAAUUUACUAAGGCAAAACCUGUUUGGUAAGCACAGGAUAAAAAAUCAUUGAAACUAUUCAAUACCAAUGUAGGUU